CCACAUUCCUGCAGGCGGGCAGUCGGAGGAUUAUCAUUCAUAUUUCGCAGAGGAGGAAACAGACUCUGAGAGGGGUAGUCAGUAGCAGGUUCAGGAUUCAAACCUAGACCCUCCUUCUGCAUCCUUUCCCUCAUAGAAUGCUGCCUCUUCUCUGGAGGCCUGGCAUCCAGUGAACUUUUCUUGUUUCAGGAAGCUUCUUCGCCCAUUGGAAGACACAGAUCCGAACUAGCCACGGAAUCUGAGGAGGCAGAGUCUGGCUGGCUCCAGCCUGACAGCUGGCCCCAAGACCCCACCAUUCUCCCUCAUUGCGCUGGCAGCCAGGGAUCCCUGAAAAGGAAGAACUGAGAAAUUCUUCUUCAUAAAAGGCCUUGAAUCAAUGAUCAAGGACAAUAUUAAUCCCAUCCUGACACAUUUUGAGCGGAGUCAAGCAAUAUAAGGGAGAAAUUUGAUUUAUCUCUUUGGGACUGGGCACAAGUUAUAAAAAUGGUAAUUUUUUCCAAGAGAUUCAAUUAUGGUAUUUUCAUUGUUAUCCCUAGGUAAUCAUGAGAAUGGUUUUUAAAGACCAGUUGCUGGAGGAUUGGGAGCAAAGUGGCAGCAGGAGGGAUCAGGAGAUGCUGCGGACACCCCAAGCCCCAUCUGUGUGGGAAAGAAAUGCUUCCUGGGGGCUUCAGGUUGGCAGAUGGCGGCACCUUUGGCCUUGAUCCCUUUGGUCAAUUCAACACCUACUGUAUGAGAGCCCUGUGGAGGGUCCUGGGGAGGGUUCAUAGAGGGUCUUUUCUGGAAGGAGUCCUAGAACGGAGAAUGCCAGUACGGAGAGACAGACCUCUGAGAGGCGACCCUCAUUUCACAGAUGCAGAAAUGGAGGCUCAGAAAGGAGGCAGCAUGUGCCCGAGUCCCCGCCACCCCCAGCCGGAUCCUUGGCACUGUCCUGAGCUGGCCUAACCUGUUUAUAUCUGUUUGUUUCUUGGAGAUGGUUGGAGUGGAGCUGAUUGGAUCUGCCCUGAUUAUUUCUGCGCCCAGAUGUAAUGACUCCACAUAAAGUCCCUGAGAUUAAUCAAGAAUGUGAGGAAACCGGCACCUGAUGAUUGGAAAACGGGCUUUAUGGCCCAUGGGGCAAAAUUGAACUUGCAUCUGAUGCACGUUUUUAAAAUAGAAUUUUUUUUUAAUAGAUUGCCUACAAUUUAUGUUUGGCGUUAAUUGUGUUAUCAGUGGGAAAUUCAUUGGAAGCCAUGUUUCCCUCUCCACCCCAGCAAACUUGAUUUUUCAAAAUCAUCUUCAUCUGAGACAGGCGUGCUAGGGCCUCGGGCAGCUGAGGUGUCUGAGCCAGAGGUGGCAGGUGGCAGGAUUAAUGUCAAGGUCAGUCCCCAGUGGGGGAUUCCAUUGCAGCAUGGCUCAGGCUAGCUGGCUGUUGGAAUCCACAGCCACUCAAAGCUUCUGGGGUUUCCCAGGAAUUGCUAGGACUGGUUACUCAGGAGGAGAUAGCGAUGUCCCCAGGGCCCGAGGAAGUGUGGCUGCCACCAGAACCUGCUUUCCAUUCUCAGACUCCACUUCCCCCCAAGUGGCUCCCUUCGAUCUGCUUGUAGUAAAUACUCUCCCACGCCUGCCUCUUUCCAAUAAUUGAACUUAUUUAUUUUUAACUAAGAUUGAAUGCUCCCCAGGAGCCCAAGAGGCACAGUGUGUCUUUCGGGAGUCAGGACAAAUCUCUCUCUCUCUCUCUCUCUCUCUCUCUCUCUCUCUCUCUCUCUCUCUCUCUCUCUCUCUCAGUAUGGCUCUGCUACUAACCCUCAUCUGAACCUCUGUUUCUCCAUCUGUAAAGUGGGGAUAAUGGGCCAUGCAUUCCCUACCUCACAGAGUUUGUUGUUUUUUUUCCCCCAGGGCAAGCAUUUCACAAACCUGAAAGCCCCAGAGAAGUGAGAUUUAUUAAUAUUAUUAUUGCAUGUAUUAUUAUUUUUAAACAAUUUAUUUAUUUUUAGUUUUUAACAUUCACUUCCAUAAGAUUUUGAGUUUUAAAUUUUCUCCCCCUCCCCCUCCUCUUCCCCCUUCCUUCUCCCCAAGACUGUGUGCAAUAUGAUAUGGGCUUUACAUGUACAAUCAUAUUAAGCAUAUUUUCACAUUAGUCAUGAUGUAAAGAACAAUUAGAACUGAUGAGAGGAACCACGAGGAAUAAGAAACAAAACAAAACAACAAAAGAAAAGGAGAGCAAAUAGUCUGCUUCCAUCUACCCUCAGACUUCAUAGUUCUUUCUCUGGAUGAGCCUUUUGGAGUUGUCUUAGAUCCUUACACGCAUGUAUUAUUGUUAAUAUGAUGACUCCAAAACCAAGAUGCAGUUGUAAUCUCAUGGGGCGCCACCUAGUGGAUGGGAUCUAGAGUCAGAAAUAAAUCAAUGGAUUGAUCAAUCCA
Molecule: long non-coding RNA, 2400 nt
Organism: Phascolarctos cinereus (koala)
Lineage: Eukaryota; Metazoa; Chordata; Mammalia; Diprotodontia; Phascolarctidae
Source: Ensembl